RNAcentral lists this ribosomal RNA (495 nucleotides) under uncultured bacterium. Its description in RNAcentral is "partial 16S ribosomal RNA". It matches the Rfam family "Bacterial small subunit ribosomal RNA", at positions 28 to 507 of the family's 1533-position model. The record is from RNAcentral.
GACGAACGCUGGCGGCGUGCCUAAUACAUGCAAGUAGAACGCUGAAGGAGUGGCUUGCUCUUCUGGAUGAGUUGCGAACGGGUGAGUAACGCGUAGGUAACCUGCCUUGUAGCGGGGGAUAACUAUUGGAAACGAUAGCUAAUACCGCAUAACAGUAGAUGUUGCAUGACAUUUACUUAAAAGUUUCAAUUGCAUCACUACCAGAUGGACCUGCGUUGUAUUAGCUAGUUGGUGGGGUAACGGCUCACCAAGGCGACGAUACAUAGCCGACCUGAGAGGGUGGUCGGCCAGACUGGGACUGAGACACGCCACAGACUACUACGGGAGGGAGCAGUAGGGAAGCUUCGGCAAUGGACGGAAGUCUGACCGAGCAACGCCGAGUGAGUGAAGAAGGUUGUCGGAUCGGAAAGCUCGGUUGUAAGAGAAGAAAGAGUGUGAGAGUGGAAAGUUCACACUGUGACGGUAUCUUACAGGAAAGGGACGGCUAACUACGUG